AGUACUUUGAAAGAGGAUUCCAACAGUACCAAGUUUUCCAAUUUUGGACUUGUGGAGAGUGAAAUAUGAUUUUUCAAAUAUUGCUUGUUAAAUCUGGAAUUUUCUAACUUAAAGGAAACUAAGGGUUUCAAACCCUCCAUUUUCCUUCAAUAUCAUUUGAUCGUUUUACAUUUGAUUUCAAAGAUGGAAAUCAGAUUUGUCUUGUAUUUUAAAACCCACUUUUGAACCUCGAGUUACACGAACUCUUAGACUCGUCUCUGCGUUAAUUUCUUAGAUUGUACUAGUGUACAAUUUUCCUCGAUAAUUAGAAUGAUUUUGAGUGGUAGUUGAUUAUUGUUUGCUCAGGCACUCGAGGGAAUCUCCCAGAGGAACUCGGAGCGGACACCUAAGACGCUUGUUUAAGAACUACUCGCUUGUUUUGACUAGGUGAGUGUUCCAUAUAGGAAUACGUAAUUGGAAUAAGUCUAUGACAUGCUUAACCCAUGGUCAUUAAGUAUUUACCACACUCAUGCUGUGAGAACCCGUAAAUUCCCUAAUAAUUUUCUAGGGUUUAUUUCCUUUAAUGGCAUGUUUUCUGCAUUUUCUGGUUUAGGAAAAUUCUCCUGAUGCAUUUUAUGAGUAAUUAUAGUUUUUAUAUGAAUUUUCUAGUAUUGGAGAGUUUUCGAAAAAUUAAGGAUAGAUAACGGACGUGGGACCCACUAGUGCGAUAAGUUCGGAAAAAAAUUCUACCAAUAAGUUUAAGUUUCGGAUACUGGUUGAAAUUUAUCGGGUGUUAAGAGAUAAGUAGAGGAUGUCAUUUGGAUUGGUAUGAGGGGGAACAAAGAGAUAGAGAUUCAUUAAUUAGGUGACAAGUGUCACCAUUUGAUUGGAUGGACACUAUUCACUUUUUGACUUUUUUACCAAGUGAUUAAAUAUCUUAAAAUUUCACAAAAAUCACCAUUUCUUCUCUCUCUCAUGGCCGAACCUCUUGCAAGGAAAAGGAAGAAAACUUCUCCAAGUUUCAAGCUUCAAACUAGCUCAAUCUUCCAUUCCAACCGAUUAAACUUAGAAUUGUUCCAUAAAAUCCCUCUAGUUGGUGCUAGUAAGUGAUUUGGUGAAGUUUUUUUUGAAGAGCUAAGGUGGUCUACAUCUCUCCCUCUCUUGUUUACUUGGUAAGUGGUAUAUGAACUCCCUUCUAUACUUAAUGAUGGUUAAUUGGUGCCUAGUGGAAGCUAAAGUGAUGGAUUAUGUGAGUUAUUUCUUGAUUUGUGAUGAAUUGGUGAAGUUUUUAUUUUUUUUGAGGAAUUUUCUGGUUUAAUGUGAUCAUGGUGUUGUGGUUGUUUAUGAUGGUUGGUAAUAAGGGGUAAUGACUUUAGUAGGUGUAAAUGAUUGGUAAUUGCAAGCAAUUUUGGGUUUGGAGGAGAUUUCAGCAAAAUAGGGUUUUAUACCCCAAAUUUCUGUCCGAUUUUGUAUCUUGUGGUUAGAGGCCGAAUUGGCCUUUGCUCAAAACAUGAAAGUUGUAGGUAUUGAUGUGUUUGAGGUGCCUGUAAAAUUUCAGGUCAUUUGUAUGAGUGUAGAGUGAGUUAUGACGGAAUUACUGUAGCUGUUCUGCUUUGGACAGAAUGCGAAAUCUGCACUGGUAAUUGGCCAUUUUGACUGGAAUCGGUUUGGAUUUUGAAGUUGGUGUCUUCUGAUGAAAUGUAGCUGGAUGUCUUAGCUACCAUAUGCCUUUGGAAUUUCGGCAUUUGGACCUAUAUAGACUGAAUUAUAGUAAUUACAGUUUUGUGUGAUUUGCAAACCUGUUUUGGUCAUUCUGGUUUAGUAUCUGGAAUUUUUGACCUAGUUAAGCUAGGAACUGGAUUGAGUGACCUUCUGCAUUGUUGUAGCCCUGUUUCAUAGCUUCGAAACGGGGUCUUACACCCCAUCCGAUAAUCGUAGUGAAAUUGACGCCAUUACCGCAUUAGGAGGUCAAAACUGUUUUUAUUGUUGGAACAAAUGAGUUACAUUUCCUGAUUUUCUGGUUUGCUUUAAUGCUUAUUUAUGCAUAUGAAACCUUAUUGGGGUUGUGGUUGGCAUGGCUAUAUGACUCGUUAUCGAGUCUCUUUUGGGGCUUGCUUUCAUUUCGGUUGUUUCCUAGCUAAUUUCGUACUUGUACUACAUUGAGCCUAGUGAACGGCUUUUGGGAAAUGAGAUGACUUUUGUGUGAAAUGUUGGGACUGAUUUGAGGAUAUAAUGAAGCCUUAAUGGCUGGAAAAGAAAGAAAUUUAGGGGAAGUGCUGCCCAAUUUUCUAGGCCGUUUGGUUUCUUUAAGUUGGAUUGGCCUUUUUGUGGAAAUGAAAGGCUUUUGGGUUGUUUGUGCCUAAGUCUUCAUACUAACUUUUCGUUUUCAAGAAAAUCAUGUUUUUGUACCCUUGCAUUAGUAUGUCUCACUUGUGCAUUCCGUUUAUUCGAUUUUAGAUAUGAAACCUUCAAUUGGUUUAUUUUGAUUAUUUUAGGGUUUCUUGGCGAUUAAGGCCAAUCUGAAGUGAAACUUUUUGAAGUUGAAUUGGUGAGUGUACCACUCCCCUUCAUUGCUGUUUAACUUGAUUUCUGCUCUGUAAUCUGUUAAAUUUGUUUGAGACGAGGGUGUACUUUAUCACACUCGUUCUUUUAUCUGUUCAUAUGCCAAUUUUGAGUGCCUAUCUGAAUCUGCCGUCUGAAUCUGCUAUCUGAAUCUGCUAAUUCUGUAUCUGUAUCUGAAUCUGUUAUCUGUAUCUGCAUCUGUUCGGAUUUCUAUGACCUAUGAGCUCAAUCCUGUGGCUAAGUUAUUCGAGUCGGGCCGGCAAGGGCCUGGACGAUUAGAUAACGAACCACGGUAGUCUGUUCGGGGAUUUUGGGUAUUGAGACCCUUGAUUCCGGGUAUACUCGAGUAUUACCAUUUCUGUUCGGUUGAGGUGAGCGGGCCCGGUAAAGGGGUGUUUGGUGGACGGAAUUUGGGGUAAAGUGGGGUCUACGGACGUUUUGGUUCUAUAUACGUUGACGGAGAGUCAACCAAUUUGGAUCAAGUACUGCGCUGGAAAUUUGGCUCCUGAGAGCCACCCGUAUCCUUUUGAUUUGAAUCAUUGGUUCCUUUGCUUUACAUCUGGCAUGUGUAUCGGAUUUGAAAAAUGUGAAAUGCCAUGAUUUUUCUGCUAUCUGUUUGGUACCUCAUUGAGCGCAAGCUCACCCCGUUCUGUCCCUUUUGUUUUCCUUACAGGAAAAUAAAUACUUUUGGACUGGAUUUGAUAAUCGGUUGCCGACUUGAGCUAAUUGAACAUAUCUUUUGUAUAGCUCAUGUAUUAAAACCCUAAGUGUACUUUUGGGGCGUUUCUCUUUUGAUUUGGCAAACCGUGUAUAUGUAUUAUCUUUUGAAAGCUUUUGUAUGUCAUUUUGAUUUGUAAACGCUAAAGUUCAGAUGUAAAUGUUUGUUAGCUAUUUCGGUUGGGUUCUGAUGGGUCGGUUACUAUUCAUGGCCGGCUCCGGAUUUCAUUUCAUUUUAUCUUGGGUUGUUUUACUAUUUUGAUUUGUUUACGCGAGUUUGUAAGUUCCAGAUUGAAGCGGAUAGCUCUAAUCUGAUCCGUAGUCCUGGCGAGAGCUGGGCAGGCAGUCCGCUAACCCCUUUGGUUCGCCUUAGGGGAAAGUGGGGCUGUUACACAUGCACAUUUGAAUAAUGUAUACUUGAAUUACUCGACAUGAAACACCUGAAGUAGGUAUAUUUGAACUAUUCGAUAUGAAAUGCUUAAAGAGCAUACUUAUGUGAUUACUUGAAAUACUAGAUAUGAAAUGUUUGGAGAGCAUAUUUACAUGAUGUGUUUAAAUGAUUAAUUAUGCUAUGGAAGCAUAAGUCGGUUGGAGUAAAUCUCCUCGACUCUU
This 3870-nucleotide long non-coding RNA is filed under the name Coffea arabica (coffee). RNAcentral's name for it is "long non-coding RNA (CARA_LNC005943)". The record is from RNAcentral. Lineage: Eukaryota; Viridiplantae; Streptophyta; Magnoliopsida; Gentianales; Rubiaceae.